This 393-nucleotide ribosomal RNA is filed under the name uncultured bacterium. RNAcentral's name for it is "bacterial SSU rRNA". It matches the Rfam family "Bacterial small subunit ribosomal RNA", at positions 28 to 420 of the family's 1533-position model. The record is from RNAcentral.
GACGAACGCUGGCGGCGUGCUUAACACAUGCAAGUCGAGCGGUAAGGCCCUUUCGGGGGUACGACGAGCGGCGAACGGGUGAGUAACACGUGGGUGACCUGCCCUCAGCUCUGGGAUAAGCCUGGGAAACCGGGUCUAAUACCGGAUAUGACUCCAUGACGCAUGUUGUGGGGUGGAAAGCCUUGUGCGGCUGAGGAUGGGCCCGCGGCCUAUCAGCUUGUUGGUGGGGUGAUGGCCUACCAAGGCGACGACGGGUAGCCGGCCUGAGAGGGCGACCGGCCACACUGGGACUGAGACACGGCCCAGACUCCUACGGGAGGCAGCAGUGGGGAAGUCUUGCGCAAUGGGCGAAAGCCUGACGCAGCGACGCCGCGUGAGGGAUGACGGCCUGGU